This 620-nucleotide ribosomal RNA is filed under the name uncultured Verrucomicrobiota bacterium. RNAcentral describes it as "bacterial SSU rRNA". It matches the Rfam family "Bacterial small subunit ribosomal RNA", at positions 77 to 680 of the family's 1533-position model. The record is from RNAcentral. Lineage: Bacteria; Pseudomonadati; Verrucomicrobiota.
UAGCAAUACCGAAGAAAGUCUAGUGGCGAACGGGUGCUUAACACGUGGGCAACCUGCCAAGAAGUGGGGGAUAGCUCGCCGAAAGGCGAAUUAAUACCGCAUGUGAUUAGAAAGGACAUCCUUUCAAAAUUAAAGUCGGGGCAACCUGACGCUUUUUGUGGGGCCCGCGGCCUAUCAGCUAGUUGGUGAGGUAAUGGCUCACCAAGGCUUUGACGGGUAGCUGGUCUGAGAGGACGACCAGCCACACUGGGACUGAGACACGGCCCAGACACCUACGGGUGGCAGCAGUCGAGAAUUUUUGACAAUGGGGGAAACCCUGAUCGAGCGACGCCGCGUGGAGGAUGAAGGUCUUCGGAUUGUAAACUCCUGUCAUUGGGGAACAAGGUGCAUACGUUAACUGCGUGUGCAUUGAUAGUACCCGAAGAGGAAGAGACGGCUAACUCUGUGCCAGCAGCCGCGGUAAUACAGAGGUCUCAAGCGUUGUUCGGAUUCAUUGGGCGUAAAGGGUGCGUAGGCGGCGCGGUAAGUCGGGUGUGAAAUCUCGGAGCUUAACUCCGAAACUGCAUUCGAUACUGCCGUGCUUGAGGACUGGAGAGGAGACUAGAAUUCACGGUGUAGCA